Molecule: ribosomal RNA, 660 nt
Filed under: uncultured fungus
Lineage: Eukaryota; Fungi
Description: eukaryotic LSU rRNA
Rfam family: Eukaryotic large subunit ribosomal RNA
Source: RNAcentral
CCCGCUGAACUUAAGCAUAUCAAUAAGCGGAGGAAAAGAAACUAACAAGGAUUCCCCUAGUAACUGCGAGUGAAGCGGGAAAAGCUCAAAUUUAAAAUCUGGCGGUCCUUGUGGCCGUCCGAGUUGUAAUUUAGAGAAGUGUUAUCCGCGCUGGACCGUGUACAAGUCUCCUGGAAUGGAGCGUCAUAGAGGGUGAGAAUCCCGUCUUUGACACGGACUGCCAGGGCAUUGUGAUACGCUCUCAAAGAGUCGAGUUGUUUGGGAAUGCAACUCAAAAUGGGUGGUAAAUUCCAUCUAAAGCUAAAUAUUGGGGAGAGACCGAUAGCGAACAAGUACCGUGAGGGAAAGAUGAAAAGAACUUUGGAAAGAGAGUUAAACAGUACGUGAAAUUGCUGAAAGGGAAACGCUUGAAGUCAGUCGCGUCGCUCAGGACUCAGCCUUGCUUUUGCUUGGUGUACUUCCUGUUCGAUGGGUCAGCAUCAAUUUUGGUCGGUGGAUAAAGGCUCAGAGAAUGUGGCAUCUUCGGGUGUGUUAUAGCUCUGGGUUGUAUACAUCGGCUGGGAUUGAGGAACUCAGCACGCCGCAAGGCCGGGUACUUGUACCACGUACGUGCUUAGGAUGCUGGCAUAAUGGCUUUAAUCGACCCGUCUUGAAACACGG